This 763-nucleotide ribosomal RNA is filed under the name uncultured Streptococcus sp. RNAcentral describes it as "bacterial SSU rRNA". It matches the Rfam family "Bacterial small subunit ribosomal RNA", at positions 28 to 776 of the family's 1533-position model. Lineage: Bacteria; Bacillati; Bacillota; Bacilli; Lactobacillales; Streptococcaceae. The record is from RNAcentral.
GACGAACGCUGGCGGCGUGCCUAAUACAUGCAAGUAGAACGCUGAAGGAGGAGCUUGCUUCUCCGGAUGAGUUGCGAACGGGUGAGUAACGCGUAGGUAACCUGCCUGGUAGCGGGGGAUAACUAUUGGAAACGAUAGCUAAUACCGCAUAAGAGUAGAUGUUGCAUGACAUUUGCUUAAAAGGUGCAAUUGCAUCACUACCAGAUGGACCUGCGUUGUAUUAGCUAGUUGGUGGGGUAACGGCUCACCAAGGCGACGAUACAUAGCCGACCUGAGAGGGUGAUCGGCCACACUGGGACUGAGACACGGCCCAGACUCCUACGGGAGGCAGCAGUAGGGAAUCUUCGGCAAUGGACGGAAGUCUGACCGAGCAACGCCGCGUGAGUGAAGAAGGUUUUCGGAUCGUAAAGCUCUGUUGUAAGAGAAGAACGAGUGAGAGAGUGGAAAGUUCACACUGUGACGGUAUCUUACCAGAAAGGGACGGCUAACUACGUGCCAGCAGCCGCGGUAAUACGUAGGUCCCGAGCGUUGUCCGGAUUUAUUGGGCGUAAAGCGAGCGCAGGCGGUUAGAUAAGUCUGAAGUUAAAGGCUGUGGCUUAACCAUAGUACGCUUUGGAAACUGUUUAACUUGAGUGCAAGAGGGGAGAGUGGAAUUCCAUGUGUAGCGGUGAAAUGCGUAGAUAUAUGGAGGAACACCGGUGGCGAAAGCGGCUCUCUGGCUUGUAACUGACGCUGAGGCUCGAAAGCGUGGGGAGCAAACAGG